This 250-nucleotide ribosomal RNA is filed under the name uncultured bacterium. Its description in RNAcentral is "partial 16S ribosomal RNA". It matches the Rfam family "Bacterial small subunit ribosomal RNA", at positions 524 to 776 of the family's 1533-position model. The record is from RNAcentral.
GACGGGGGGGCAAGUGUUCUUCGGAAUGACUGGGCGUAAAGGGCACGUAGGCGGUGAAUCGGGUUGAAAGUGAAAGUCGCCAAAAAGUGGCGGAAUGCUCUCGAAACCAAUUCACUUGAGUGAGACAGAGGAGAGUGGAAUUUCGUGUGUAGGGGUGAAAUCCAUAGAUCUACGAAGGAACGCCAAAAGCGAAGGCAGCUCUCUGGGUCCCUACUGAUGCUGGGGUGCGAAAGCAUGGGGAGCGAACAAG